Molecule: ribosomal RNA, 450 nt
Filed under: uncultured bacterium
Lineage: Bacteria
Description: partial 16S ribosomal RNA
Rfam family: Bacterial small subunit ribosomal RNA
Source: RNAcentral
GUAGGGAAUCUUCCACAAUGGACGAAAGUCUGAUGGAGCAACGCCGCGUGAGUGAAGAAGGUUCUCGGAUCGUAAAACUCUGUUGUGAGGGAAGAACAAGUACCGGAGUAACUGCCGGUACCUUGACGGUACCUCAUUAGAAAGCCACGGCUAACUACGUGCCAGCAGCCGCGGUAAUACGUAGGUGGCAAGCGUUGUCCGGAAUCAUUGGGCGUAAAGCGCGCGCAGGCGGUCCCUUAAGUCUGAUGUGAAAGCCCACGGCUCAACCGUGGAGGGUCAUUGGAAACUGGGGGACUUGAGUGCAGAAGAGGAAAGCGGAAUUCCAAGUGUAGCGGUGAAAUGCGUAGAGAUUUGGAGGAACACCAGUGGCGAAGGCGGCUUUCUGGUCUGUAACUGACGCUGAGGCGCGAAAGCGUGGGGAGCAAACAGGAUUAGAAACCCUGGUAGUCC